This 378-nucleotide unclassified non-coding RNA is filed under the name uncultured Acidimicrobiia bacterium. RNAcentral's name for it is "contains 16S-23S intergenic spacer region". Lineage: Bacteria; Bacillati; Actinomycetota; Acidimicrobiia. The record is from RNAcentral.
UCCGAGUUGUCCCCGGCAGUCUUCUAUGAGUCCCCGACUUAACUCGCUGGUAACAUAGAACAAGGGUUGCGCUCGUUGCGGGACUUAACCCAACAUCUCACGACACGAGCUGACGACAGCCAUGCACCACCUGUUAUGGGCCCUUUCGGACACCACAUCUCUGUGGCUUUUCCCAUAAUGUCAAACCCAGGUAAGGUUCUUCGGGUCGCAUCGAAUUAAGCCGCAUGCUCCGCCGCUUGUGCGGGGACCCGUCAAUUCCUUUGAGUUUUAGCCUUGCGGCCGUACUCCCCAGGCGGGGCACUUAAUGCGUUAGCUUCGGCACGGCAACCGUUGGUCGGGUCGCCACACCUAGUGCCCAACGUUUACAGCGUGGACUAC